RNAcentral lists this ribosomal RNA (375 nucleotides) under uncultured microorganism. Its description in RNAcentral is "bacterial SSU rRNA". It matches the Rfam family "Bacterial small subunit ribosomal RNA", at positions 9 to 371 of the family's 1533-position model. The record is from RNAcentral.
GAGUUUGAUCUUGGCUCAGGAUGAACGCUAGCGACAGGCUUAACACAUGCAAGUCGAGGGGCAGCGGUGGUGAAGGCUUGCCUUUACCAGCCGGCGACCGGCGCACGGGUGAGUAACACGUAUGCAACCUGCCUGCCACAGCCGGAUAAUCGGGAGAAAUCCCGUCUAAUACGGCAUAAUGCAUCGACGGGACAUCCUGUUGGUGCCAAAGGUUAAUUCCGGUGGCGGAUGGGCAUGCGUCGCAUUAGUUAGUUGGCGGUGUAACGGACCACCAAGACGACGAUGCGUAGGGGUUCUGAGAGGAAGGUCCCCCACACUGGUACUGAGACACGGACCAGACUCCUACGGGAGGCAGCAGUGAGGAAUAUUGGUCAA